CCUACGGGAGGCAGCAGUGAGGAAUAUUGGACAAUGGGCGCAAGCCUGAUCCAGCCAUGCCGCGUGCAGGAAGACGGUCCUAUGGAUUGUAAACUGCUUUUGUACAGGAAGAAACACUCCCUCGUGAGGGAGCUUGACGGUACUGUAAGAAUAAGGAUCGGCUAACUCCGUGCCAGCAGCCGCGGUAAUACGGAGGAUCCAAGCGUUAUCCGGAAUCAUUGGGUUUAAAGGGUCCGUAGGCGGUUUAAUAAGUCAGUGGUGAAAUCUGGUCGCUCAACGAUCAAACGGCCAUUGAUACUGUUAGACUUGAAUUAUUAGGAAGUAACUAGAAUAUGUAGUGUAGCGGUGAAAUGCUUAGAUAUUACAUGGAAUACCAAUUGCGAAGGCAGGUUACUACUAAUGGAUUGACGCUGAUGGACGAAAGCGUGGGGAGCGAACAGGAUUAGAUACCCUGGUAGUCCACGCCGUAAACGAUGGAUACUAGCUGUUGGGCGCAAGUUCAGUGGCUAAGCGAAAGUGAUAAGUAUCCCACCUGGGGAGUACGUUCGCAAGAAGAGAACGACAAGUAGUAAGUUAGUACGGCGUAGAGACGUAGACCGAACGGACGACGACGAGGGGAGGAGGG
This 625-nucleotide ribosomal RNA is filed under the name uncultured bacterium. RNAcentral's name for it is "bacterial SSU rRNA". It matches the Rfam family "Bacterial small subunit ribosomal RNA", at positions 338 to 1415 of the family's 1533-position model. The record is from RNAcentral.